RNAcentral lists this ribosomal RNA (230 nucleotides) under uncultured microorganism. RNAcentral's name for it is "partial 16S ribosomal RNA". It matches the Rfam family "Bacterial small subunit ribosomal RNA", at positions 524 to 753 of the family's 1533-position model. The record is from RNAcentral.
UACGAAGGGGGCUAGCGUUAUUCGGAUUUACUGGGCGUAAAGCGCGCGUAGGCGGCCGUUUAAGUCAGAUGUGAAAGCCCGGGGCUCAACCCCGGAAGUGCAUUUGAUACUGCUUGGCUUGAGUAUGGGAGAGGGAAGUGGAAUUCCUGGUGUAGAGGUGAAAUUCGUAGAUAUCAGGAGGAACACCGGUGGCGAAGGCGACUUCCUGGACCAAUACUGACGCUGAGGCG